RNAcentral lists this ribosomal RNA (253 nucleotides) under uncultured bacterium. RNAcentral's name for it is "partial 16S ribosomal RNA". It matches the Rfam family "Bacterial small subunit ribosomal RNA", at positions 524 to 776 of the family's 1533-position model. The record is from RNAcentral.
UACGUAGGGCGCAAGCGUUGUUCGGAAUUAUUGGGCGUAAAGCGUGUGUAGGUGGCUAUGUAAGUCGAGUGUGAAAUCCCUGGGCUCAACCGAGGAAGUGCACUCGAAACUGUGUAGCUAGAGGAUAGUAGAGGAAGGUGGAAUUCCUAGUGUAGAGGUGAAAUUCGUAGAUAUUAGGAGGAAUACCGGUGGCGAAGGCGACCUUCUGGGCUAUUCCUGACACUGAGACACGAAAGCAUGGGUAGCAAACAGG